AGAGCUUUCAAAUCCCAACUUGCCCCUGGGGAUUGCGCGGCUGAUGUUUAGAACGCCUAGUCAAGCCAACCGGCUCGCUCUUGUUUCAGCAAACCCUGACUUACGUCUCCUAUUUGACUUGAGGCGGCACAGUGGCCAAGUCGAUUGGCCGUGGCAAGUGACCCUCCCUGUGGCUGAAGUGUUCUGAGGACUGGCGAGAGAGGCGCGCCAUGCUUGCCCCCUGCUCAGGUUGGGAGCUUGGCUGCUUCCGUCUCUGUCUCCGUCAGGUCCGACUGUGGGCUGGCGCUGGGCGCUGGGCUUGCUGGGCUUGCCAAGCCAGGCCGUACAGCUCAGGUGGGAGCGAGCGCUGGCCCGGAUCGGAGACUGAGGUCCCUCCGCCUGGCCCGGGGCGCCGAACUCUGAAGGAGUGGACACUGCAGGUGAGCCCGUUUGGUCGGCUGCGGGCGCGGCUCCCGUGCCACCUGGCCGUGAGGCCCCUGGACCCCCUCACCUACCCGGAUGGCGACCGCGUGCUGGUCGCGGUGUGCGGCGUGGAGGGCGGCGUGCGGGGCCUGGACGGCCUGCAGGUGAAGUACGACGAGGAUCUGGAGGAGAUGGCCAUUGUGUCUGAUACUAUCCACCCCCAGGCGUCCGUGGAGGUUUAGAUAUCAAGUCAUCAGGGUCUGGCUGUGUAAAAGUUCAAAGUAUUGAGGGUGAUAAUUGCAAAAUUGAAACAGAGCAUGGGACUAGUAUCUUGCAGUCUGUUAAGGGUCAAAAAUUGCAUGUUCAAACAAAAGGAGGCAAAGUGAUCUGUCUGGGAACAGUUUAUGGAAAUAUAGAUAUUCAUGCAUCAGAUAAAAGUGCUGUGACCAUAGAUAAACUGCAGGGAAGUUCUGUUACUGUAUCUACCGAAGAUGGUUUGCUGAAAGCCAAGUAUCUUUAUACAGAAUCAUCAUUUCUGUCUUCUGCUGCUGGGGAUAUUACAUUAGGAAGUGUUCAUGGUAAUAUAACAUUACAAAGCAAGAUGGGUAACAUCACAGUAGAUUCGUCUUCUGGAUGUCUAAAAGCCUCAACUAAUCAGGGUGCCAUAGAUGUUUAUGUCAGCCAACUGGGGAAAGUGGAAUUGAAAUCCCAUAAAGGUUCUAUUAUUGUCAAGGUCCCAUCUUCACUUCAAGCUCAUUUACAGUUAUCAGGGAAAGAGGUUGAUGUGAACUCAGAAGUCCAUGUUCAGGAAAUGGCUGAAGUUCGUAAAGAUGAUGUUGUAACAGUGACUGGACUCAUGAAUCAAGCAAGCAAACGUGAAAAAUGGAUUAAGGCUGAUGCCCCAAAAGGCACUAAAAGAACUAACGUUGGAGAAAGUAAUUAAAGCCAGAUCCUAAAAGUCAAUACAUCUGAGGCUCCAGACACUGACUCUGCGUGUGCUGUGGUUUCCACUAAACACUAAAAUGAGGUAAUUUUUUAUUCUUAUUAUGUUCACAACUCUUGCAAAACCUAACCAGGGUAAAAAAUUUAUUCAUUUUUCUCAUUAAGCGAAUUAUGUAGUGUGUAAGUUUUCAAUGUCUUGUGCUAAAAACAGAAUCUCUCCUAUAGUUACCUUAUCUAAGUAACGAGAGAGCAUUCUUUAUAAAGUGCAGAUAAUCUAAACAUCUCAAUUUACUCACUUUAUUUUAUUCUCUUUCCUUCUCUUUUUAAAUCCAGGUAAGGAAUUGUGAAAUUAGUUUGUAAGUCACUUUCUCCUCCCCCGGCUUUGUCUGUUCCCUUUUGGGACUUAAUAAUUGGGCUGGAGGAGGCAAGGGGAAAGAUUACCACAUGCCCAGAAGUAUGAAUCUUGGAAGAGGUAAAACUGGUUAAAAGCCACAACACAGACACACACGUACCAAAAGCAGGGAGGAGAAAAAGAAGGAUGAGAAAUGAUGAAAAAGAAAAAUUUCAGGGUUGAGGGUGAGGGGAGGGAACUCAGAGUACAGGUCAAUAGGUGCAGCAAACCACCAUGACACACGCAUACCUAUGAAACAAACCUGCAUGUUCUGCACAUGUAUCCUGUUUUGUUUUGUUUUUUUAGAAAAAAAAAAGAAAAAUUUAUUGUUCAUGAAUUUGAGUAGAACAACUAAUCUUUUAGAUUACUGAAAAUAAAUACAUGUCAGUUUGUAAAAGAUUAAAUUGUUUUAAAGAUAUGCCAGAACUCAGCUGUAUGGUCAUAUAGUUACCAAAUGGGUAAAUGCUUUCAUCUACAAUCUCAGAGCACCUAAAAAUAGUACAAUUUUUAGGCUCCAAAGAGUGAAAAGAAAAAUGUCUGGACCCCACAGAAUCAAAAAAGAAUGACAGAAAACACUGGUCUCCUGAUACUUAACAUCAAACUUUGGCCAAUACUCCUUCAUCCCAAGGAUGAGAGGAGCAUCUAAAAAUUAAUCAAUAAUGUACAUUAAGAGGCUAUGUCAUCACCAUGGUAGGUUUCAAUACUUCUAAAUGAUUUCUAGUUAUUGUUCAAAUAUAACUGAUCACCAUAUGAGAAAUAUAACCCAGUAUUAAAAAUGUUAAUAUUUUAAACUGUUUUGUCUAGUCUAUCACCUUGUCAAAGAUCUUUUGAAAGCCUGACUAUAUCAUAUUCAUAGAUAAAACUUUGUAUAAAUGCAUGUUUAACCCUUAAGUUAAUUGCAGCAGGUAAAUCAUGGCUUAACUUUAGAGGAAUCUUUCAACUUUUUGUCUUAGUAGGUUACAUACAUCUAAAUGAUUUGUAACCCUUUUUGUUAUUAAAGAGUUACAAUAUUUCCAA
Molecule: RNA transcript, 2752 nt
Organism: Homo sapiens (human)
Lineage: Eukaryota; Metazoa; Chordata; Mammalia; Primates; Hominidae
Gene: FAM185A
Gene name: family with sequence similarity 185 member A
Exons: 9
Source: RefSeq, marked validated